GGAAGUGUAGGAAAGAAAGGUGGUUCAGUCUAAUAAAAUCUAACCCUUCAACUUAGACCGUUUGGUUGGUCCACUAUUUUCCUUGAUCGGCCCCAAAUCUACCAGUCAAAUCAUUUCUUUUAUCUUCCUUUUUCAGUUAAACCUUUUGCUUACCCCUAUACUUGUCUUUCGCUCCUCUUCAUGCAAACAUUCACACAAUGUGACGAACACUUUCUCUGCAAUCUUUCUGACAGAUAGAUAUUCCCAUACAAACAGAGAAAAACUACUCUCUUCUUGUAUUCUAAACUUUUUUUUCCUUCUACUUUCUAUCUGCUUCAUUUCUCGCCAAACAUGUGCAGCUUCAAAAACAUCGUUCAAGUUUUGAUAUAAAGAUUGCGAGCCGGGUAAGUUAUCAUAUCGUCAAUCUUGUAGCUAGUCUUAAUUUACUGUUGCGUUUGUAUAUUCUUAUUGUUUGGCUGUUCGCAUUAUGGGGAAAUGCUUUAUUUUAUUUUUUACUGUUCAUGUGGUUGUUAGUUGAUGAAUAAUGAAUGAUGAUUAUAUGUGUGGCCUUUGAUUUCAUUCUGCUACAGUUUUUGUUUCUGUUCAAGUUUCGAUAUACAGAGGUUGCGGGCCGGUUAAGUCAUCAUAUUGUCAAUCUUGUAGCUAGUCUUGAUUUACUGUUGCGUGUGUGUAUUCUUAUUGUUUGAGCGUUCGUGUUAUGGGAAAAUACUCUGUUUUUUAUUGUUCAUGUGGUUGUUAGUUGAUGAAUAAUGAACGAUGAUUAUAUGCGUGGUCUUCGAUUUCAUUCUGCUACAGUUUUGGUUUCGAGCAUAAUAAGUGAUUUUCCAUUCGUUAAUUACUCUGAAAACUUUUGGAUGAUUAAUUAAUUUGUUUAUAUAGAAGGUCAACACGGAUUCAAAAAUUUUAUUCAGGUUCAACUUUAAAGAAUAGUCAAUAAAAAUAAAAUAUAUAAAAUAAAUAUAUAUUUAGAAAAUUUAUAAAAUAUUAUAAUUAAAUUAUAUUUUUUUGGAAGAACAAUUCUAGUUAUGUUUUUUAUUUUACCAUAAAUUAUUUGAAUUUUUUUUAUAAAAUUAACCAUACCAAACAACUACUAUCAAAUUAAAUUAUAUUAAUAAAUUGUAAUAUAUAUAUAUAUAUAUAUUUAGGAUUAACCCUUAAAAUACUUUAUAAAUAGGACAUAAAUAAUUAAUAAAAUUUAGCUUUGGGCUUAUUUGUACGACUUGUUGUGUUAGCCGACCAGAAGCCCAAUCCAAACACUCAAAUUUCAAGUGGGUCCAUGAUAGCCCAAAAUCAACCAAAACUCUAGGACCAGGUGGCUAGGAGGUAUAUGUCACAAACAAUCCUUUAAUUUGAGAAUAUUCACUCCCUAAAAUAAUAAUAAAAUUUAUGUGCUUUCAUUUAUAAAAAAUUAUAGAUAUUGUUUAAAUAGUAUUUUAUCUAUUAGAUUAUUAAUAUAUAUUUAUUUAAUCAGAAAUAAUUUUAUAACAUAAGUUAUUUAAUUUUUAAAAGAGCAAUAUAAAUUGAGAAGAUAUUAAAAGAUUUGACCAUAAAAACCAAAAUUUUUAAAAUUAUAAAUUUAAAAAAAAACUUAUUUUUAUAUAAUGAAUGAAAUAAUUGAUUAAAUACUAACGUUUCCAUUUAAAUUAUGACUUGGUUGAUAUUAAAUAAUUUAUCAAAUACAAAUAAUGGUUUUUAUGGUCAUUCAUUUUUUUAUAUUAUAUUAUAUAAUAUAACUCAGGAACGCAUGCUUUGCAGCUGCUUUCGACUAAUGUGAGAUAGUAUUUAUAUUUGAGAUAUAUUUGCGUUGGAUAAAGCCAUAGAUAAUUGAUGAAAUUAAUUAAUAAUUUGGACUGAUGAUUUCUUUAACCUUUGCGGAACAUGAAAUAUCUUUUUUUUACCUUAAAUUAUUUAUGAUGCUUGUAGUUGAGAUUUUUAAGUAGGCUAGGGAAGAAUAAUUCUGUCGACUUGUUAACUAACAGUCGAAAACUGACAAAGAUCUUGGAUCAGCGUGGAAAAGUUGACAAGAUUGGAGAGUUCCGAUAUAUAUUUAUAUAUUGGGAAAUCCAUUGUAAAACAUAUCUCUGUUGCUUUUACAUAGGAGUUUCUAUUUGUGUGGUUUGCAGACACAAUUCCUGAAUUUUUGUUUUUUCGCUUUUCAGGAUUGUGUCUCGUGCUCAUUUGUUGAAAAUUUUUUCUUUAUUUAUUUAUUUUUAAACAUAACAAUAUGUAUUUACAUGGUUGAUAGGACAAAUCUACAAUAAAAUAAUAAUCAUAGUCUAAAAAAAAUCCACUCAUUCUAAUUAAACUAAUUAAUAAAUUAAAUAAAAAAUUAAACCGAUUCAAUCAGAUGAAUAUCAACUUAGUUAAAUUAGAAAUACGAUACUCGUGUUACAACAUCAUAUUAUUUAAGAAUUCGUUUUUCAAACUGCACCACCGUUCAUAUAAAAUCACAAAAUUUCAUAAGUUAUUAAAUUAUCCCAACGAAAAAUGAAAAUUUAUCCAUUCAAACAAAUAAGAAAAUUAAAUCGUUAAACACAUCUCUGUACACAAAGUAUAAAUCUGGAAAACAGAGAAAAAACAAAAAUAACACAUAUUCAAAACUCCUCGCCAUGGUAGAGAGUUCAUCACCAUCAACAGGAGAGCAAAAAACCUAAAAACUUAACAUGCAAACAGUUUCCACUGGGUUGGAGAAGGCUAAACAAAACUCAAUUGAUGCUCAAAACAAAGCAAUAGAAAUCAAAACUGACAAUUAAAAGAAAAACCAGAAAAAACAAACGAAGGAAAAUGCGCCCUUCCCCUUUCUCUCACUCUUCCCUUCCCGGUAGCCCUUUCUGAUCAAUAUACCAAACACAAACGAAUCAACAAAUUCAAAACUCCGUCUUCUCCUUCUUGGUCGCGUCGCUUCUGGCCCUAGCUGGCUUUCUCUCUCUUUCCAGAAGCUCCGAAGCCCUGAUUUAUUGAAAAUCUGAAGAUGGCAGUUGCUCAUUAAUUCCUUCCUUCUAAAUCAUAAUUCAGUAGAAACUAGUUAAAGUUAAGGAAUAAUUUUUUUAAGUGUACAUGUAGAUAUAUCAUUCUUAAUCAAGUUUGAACUGUAGUGCACACGUAUAUAUAAUUAAAUAGCAAGGGUAAACGAUCAAACUUAAUUUUAAACAUAUAUUAUAUCUAUUUCCAACAGUUAUGGUAUUUUAUACUGAAUUUUUUUUCCUAAUAAAGAGGUUCUAUGCGUACGACAUGAUUCCAUUUAUAGGUUUAAACAUAGAAUUUCAAAAUUCAAGCACUAAAGUGCAAAUCGGAUAAAAACUCAAGCAGCAUGAGUGCCCGAUAUACCCCUAGCUAGUAUAUGAAAAAUUGUACAUUACCACGAAGAUCUCAGGUAAGACACUAGCAGAGUAUGAUAAAUGUCACAUUGAAAAAAAAAACUGUGUAACAUUUAUCUAUUUUUUUUCUUAAAAAGGUGUAUUAUAAUUUACAUGUCUGAUUUUUAUUAAUUUGUCAUUUCAUGUCAAACUGCACAAAUAUAUUCUUAAAAUUGAUUAGUUUGAGCAAAUUAUCAUGCAUUGCUAUUAGUGCACCUGUAUAUCUUUCUUAAUGUUAUACAAUUAUGUAUCUAAUACACCAAACCAUUCUGACAAUAAGAUGACAUGAAACCUUAACCCAUAUAUAUGCAUCUUGAACUUUAAACUAGCUACUACUAUAGACUGCACGGAUUUCAUUACUAUAAUGCUGUUAUUCCUACUUCAUGAUAAUGAGUGGUUUAGAGUUUGAAAUUUUCAACUGAAGUAAGAAAAGAAAAAAAAAAAAUCAGAUUGCAAAGGGAAUCUUUCGUUCAUGUGAGAAAUAAGUUAGAGCAUGAUUUAUAUAUAUAUAUACGAUGGUUGAUCGAUAUGUUAAGAUUAAAUUUGAGAUUUCAAUACAAACACGCACAAGCAUGUUGAUAAUAUAACAAGUUACUAUAUAACAACAUACAUUCAUUCGCACACAAAGUUCACAUCAUACAUUGUUCUGAAAAUGGAGUUCAUAUGCUUACGUUACAGACACCAAACAAUAAUAGAUAUUUUAUUAAAUAGUGUACAUAAAAUGAUAAACCGAUCAAACCCCUAGCAUUCCUGCUAACUAUUAAUUCGUGCCUCAGCGAAUGCAGGUGCUGCAUUUGGAAUAUAGACGUACUGCUAGUGGAGAUGAUCGUUAACCCUCUUGCUGGGAUCAUUUUGGUUAGUGGGGGACAUGAGAACAGAUUCCCAGCUAGGGCCAUAGCCAAAAGUUGAAGUACUGGUUGAAAGCAAAGGAUCCGAACUGGCCACAAUCAGGUUGCCUUCUUGCUGCAUCUGCUGGCUAGUGAAAGCUUCCUCAUUGAUAAGUGAAUUGAGAAAUGAAGAGAAGACAUCGU
Molecule: long non-coding RNA, 4387 nt
Filed under: Manihot esculenta (cassava)
Lineage: Eukaryota; Viridiplantae; Streptophyta; Magnoliopsida; Malpighiales; Euphorbiaceae
Description: long non-coding RNA (MESC_LNC008945)
Source: RNAcentral